UGGGGAAUAUUGCACAAUGGGCGGAAGCCUGAUGCAGCGACGCCGCGUGAGGGAUGACGGCCUUCGGGUUGUAAACCUCUUUCGACAGGGACGAAGCGGAAGUGACGGUACCUGUAGAAGAAGCACCGGCCAACUACGUGCCAGCAGCCGCGGUAAUACGUAGGGUGCGAGCGUUGUCCGGAAUUACUGGGCGUAAAGAGCUUGUAGGCGGUUCGUCGCGUCGUUCGUGAAAACCUACCGCUCAACGGUGGGCUUGCGGUCGAUACGGGCGGACUAGAGUACUUCAGGGGAGACUGGAAUUCCUGGUGUAGCGGUGAAAUGCGCAGAUAUCAGGAGGAACACCGGUGGCGAAGGCGGGUCUCUGGGAAGUAACUGACGCUGAGAAGCGAAAGCGUGGGUAGCGAACA
Molecule: ribosomal RNA, 407 nt
Filed under: uncultured Nocardia sp.
Lineage: Bacteria; Bacillati; Actinomycetota; Actinomycetes; Mycobacteriales; Nocardiaceae
Description: bacterial SSU rRNA
Rfam family: Bacterial small subunit ribosomal RNA
Source: RNAcentral